Non-coding RNA from Ornithorhynchus anatinus (platypus), 90 nucleotides. RefSeq annotates it as microRNA mir-34a. The record is from RefSeq and is marked provisional. Lineage: Eukaryota; Metazoa; Chordata; Mammalia; Monotremata; Ornithorhynchidae. The transcript has a single exon.
UUGCCAUCAGUCUAGUUACUAGGCAGUGUAGUUAGCUGAUUGCUAUUAACACCAAUCACUAGCCACACAGCCAGGUAAAAAGACCUGCAA